Molecule: ribosomal RNA, 492 nt
Filed under: uncultured bacterium
Lineage: Bacteria
Description: partial 16S ribosomal RNA
Rfam family: Bacterial small subunit ribosomal RNA
Source: RNAcentral
AGUGAACGCUGGCGGUAGGCCUAACACAUGCAAGUCGAACGGCAGCACAGUAAGAGCUUGCUCUUACGGGUGGCGAGUGGCGGACGGGUGAGGAAUACAUCGGAAUCUACUUUUUCGUGGGGGAUAACGUAGGGAAACUUACGCUAAUACCGCAUACGACCUACGGGUGAAAGCAGGGGAUCUUCGGACCUUGCGCGAUUGAAUGAGCCGAUGUCGGAUUAGCUAGUUGGCGGGGUAAAGGCCAACCAAGGCGACGAUCCGUAGCUGGUCUGAGAGGAUGAUCAGCCACACUGGAACUGAGACACGGUCCAGACGCCUACGGGAGGCAGCAGUGGGGAAUAUUGGACAAUGGGCGCAAGCCUGAUCCAGCCAUACCGCGUGGGUGAAGAAGGCCUUCGGGUUGUAAAGCCCUUUUGUUGGGAAAGAAAAGCAGCAGGUUAAUACCCCGCUGUUCUGACGGUACCCAAAGAAUAAGCACCGGCUAACUUCGUG